GGGGUCGUAGUUCAGUUGGUUAGAACGCAGGCCUGUCACGCCUGAGGUCGCGAGUUCGAGUCUCGUCGGCCCCGCCA
This 77-nucleotide transfer RNA is filed under the name Acidobacteriota bacterium. RNAcentral's name for it is "tRNA-Asp". It matches the Rfam family "tRNA". Rfam says of the family: Transfer RNA (tRNA) molecules are approximately 80 nucleotides in length. Lineage: Bacteria; Pseudomonadati; Acidobacteriota. The record is from RNAcentral. RNAcentral also lists the same sequence under 4 other names.